GGAAUUGACGGGACCCCGCACAAGCGGUGGAUUAUGUUGUUUAAUUCGACGCAACGCGAAGAACCUUACCAGGCCUUGACAUACCGGACAAAACCAUAGAGAUAUGGUGGAGGUUGAAGGAUACAGGUGGUGCAUGGUUGUCGUCAGCUCGUGUCGUGAGAUGUUGGGUUAAGUCCCGCAACGAGCGCAACCCUUGUCUUUAGUUACCAUCAUUAAGUUGGGGACUCUAGAGAGACUGCCGGUGAUAAACCGGAGGAAGUGGGGAUGACGUCAAAUCAUCAUGCCCCUUAUGGCCUGGGCUACAAACGUAAUACAAUGGCGUAUACAAAGGGAUGCGAAAGAGCGAUCUGGAGCAAAACUCAUAAAGUACGUCUCAGUUCGGAUUGAAGUCUGCAACUCGACUUCAUGAAGCUGGAAUCGCUAGUAAUCGCGGAUCAGCAUGCCGCGGUGAAUACGUUCUCGGGGUUU
This 468-nucleotide ribosomal RNA is filed under the name uncultured Erysipelothrix sp. RNAcentral's name for it is "bacterial SSU rRNA". It matches the Rfam family "Bacterial small subunit ribosomal RNA", at positions 906 to 1382 of the family's 1533-position model. The record is from RNAcentral. Lineage: Bacteria; Bacillati; Bacillota; Erysipelotrichia; Erysipelotrichales; Erysipelotrichaceae.